Molecule: ribosomal RNA, 382 nt
Filed under: uncultured Geobacillus sp.
Lineage: Bacteria; Bacillati; Bacillota; Bacilli; Caryophanales; Anoxybacillaceae
Description: bacterial SSU rRNA
Rfam family: Bacterial small subunit ribosomal RNA
Source: RNAcentral
GAGAUUGGCGUUCCCUCGGGGACAGGGUGACGAGGUGGUGGCAUGGUUGUCGUCAGCUCGUGUCGUGAGAUGUUGGGUUAAGUCCCGGCAACCGAGCGCAACCCUCGACCUCUAGUUGCCAGCAUUCGGUUGGGCACUCUAGAGGGACUGCCGGCGACAAGUACGGAGGAAGGUGGGGAUGACGUCAAAUCAUCAUGCCCCUUAUGACCUGGGCUACACACGUGCUACAAUGGGCGGUACAAAGGGCUGCGAACCCGCGAGGGGGAGCGAAUCCCAAAAAGCCGCUCUCAGUUCGGAUUGCAGGCUGCAACUCGCCUGCAUGAAGCCGGAAUCGCUAGUAAUCGCGGAUCAGCAUGCCGCGGUGAAUACGUUCCCGGGCCUU